RNAcentral lists this ribosomal RNA (581 nucleotides) under uncultured bacterium. Its description in RNAcentral is "bacterial SSU rRNA". It matches the Rfam family "Bacterial small subunit ribosomal RNA", at positions 348 to 920 of the family's 1533-position model. The record is from RNAcentral.
AUUGCAGUAGGGAAUCUUCGGCAAUGGACGGAAGUCUGACCGAGCAACGCCGCGUGAGUGAAGAAGGUUUUCGGAUCGUAAAGCUCUGUUGUAAGAGAAGAACGAGUGUGAGAGUGGAAAGUUCACACUGUGACGGUAUCUUGCCAGAAAGGGACGGCUAACUACGUGCCAGCAGCCGCGGUAAUACGUAGGUCCCGAGCGUUGUCCGGAUUUAUUGGGCGUAAAGCGAGCGCAGGCGGUUAGAUAAGUCUGAAGUUAAAGGCUGUGGCUUAACCAUAGUACGCUUUGGAAACUGUUUAACUUGAGUGCAAGAGGGGAGAGUGGAAUUCCAUGUGUAGCGGUGAAAUGCGUAGAUAUAUGGAGGAACACCGGUGGCGAAAGCGGCUCUCUGGCUUGUAACUGACGCUGAGGCUCGAAAGCGUGGGGAGCAAACAGGAUUAGAUACCCUGGUAGUCCACGCCGUAAACGAUGAGUGCUAGGUGUUAGACCCUUUCCGGGGUUUAGUGCCGCAGCUAACGCAUUAAGCACUCCGCCUGGGGAGUACGACCGCAAGGUUGAAACUCAAAGGAAUUGACGGAAUC